UCGCGGCCUAUCAGCUUGUUGGUGGGGUGAUGGCCUACCAAGGCGUCGACGGGUAGCCGGCCUGAGAGGGCGACCGGCCACACUGGGACUGAGACACGGCCCAGACUCCUACGGGAGGCAGCAGUGGGGAAUAUUGCACAAUGGGCGAAAGCCUGAUGCAGCGACGCCGCGUGAGGGAUGACGGCCUUCGGGUUGUAAACCUCUUUCAGCAGGGAAGAAGGCCUUCGGGUGGACGGUACCUGCAGAAGAAGCGCCGGCUAACUACGUGCCAGCAGCCGCGGUAAUACGUAGGGCGCAAGCGUUGUCCGGAAUUAUUGGGCGUAAAGAGCUCGUAGGCGGUCUGUCGCGUCUGGUGUGAAAUCCCAUGGCUCAACUGUGGGCGUGCAUCGGGUACGGGCAGACUAGAGUGCGGUAGGGGAGACUGGAAUUCCUGGUGUAGCGGUGGAAUGCGCAGAUAUCAGGAGGAACACCGAUGGCGAAGGCAGGUCUCUGGGCCGCAACUGACGCUGAGGAGCGAAAGCAUGGGGAGCGAACAGGAUUAGAUACCCUGGUAGUCCAUGCCGUAAACGUUGGGCACUAGGUGUGGGGCUCAUUCCACGAGUUCCGUGCCGCAGCUAACGCAUUAAGUGCCCCGCCUGGGGAGUACGGCCGCAAGGCUAAAACUCAAAGGAAUUGACGGGGGCCCGCACAAGCGGCGGAGCAUGCGGAUUAAUUCGAUGCAACGCGAAGAACCUUACCAAGGCUUGACAUACACCGGAAACAUCCAGAGAUGGGUGCCCCGUAAGGUCGGUGUACAGGUGGUGCAUGGUUGUCGUCAGCUCGUGUCGUGAGAUGUUGGGUUAAGUCCCGCAACGAGCGCAACCCUCGUCCCAUGUUGCCAGCGGGUUAUGCCGGGGACUCAUGGGAGACUGCCGGGGCAACUCGGAGGAAGGUGGGGAUGACGUCAAAUCAUCAUGCCCCUUAUGUCUUGGGCUUCACGCAUGCUACAAUGGCCGGUACAGAGGGCUGCGAUACCGUAAGGUGGAGCGAAUCCCAAAAAGCCGGUCUCAGUUCGGAUUGGGGUCUGCAACUCGACCCCAUGAAGUCGGAGUCGCUAGUAAUCGCAGAUCAGCAACGCUGCGGUGAAUACGUUCCCGGGCCUUGUACACACCGCCCGUCAAGUCACGAAAGUUGGUAACACCCGAAGCUCAUGGCCCAACCCUUGUGGGGGGAAUGGUCGAAGGUGGGGCUGGA
This 1233-nucleotide ribosomal RNA is filed under the name uncultured Actinomycetes bacterium. Its description in RNAcentral is "bacterial SSU rRNA". It matches the Rfam family "Bacterial small subunit ribosomal RNA", at positions 231 to 1472 of the family's 1533-position model. Lineage: Bacteria; Bacillati; Actinomycetota; Actinomycetes. The record is from RNAcentral.